AACGAACGCUGGCGGCAUGCCUAACACAUGCAAGUCGAACGAGACUUUCGGGUCUAGUGGCGCACGGGUGCGUAACGCGUGGGAACCUGCCCUUAGGUUCGGAAUAACUCCCCGAAAGGGGUGCUAAUACCGGAUAAUGUCUUCGGACCAAGGAUUUAUCGCCUUUGGUUGGGCCCGCGUUGGAUUAGCUAGUUGGUAGGGUAAAAGCCUACUAAGGCGACGAUCCAUAGCUGGUCUGAGAGGAUGAUCAGCCACACUGGGACUGAGACACGGCCCAGACUCCUACGGGAGGCAGCAGUGUGGAAUAUUGGACAAUGGGCGAAAGCCUGAUCCAGCAAUGCCACGUGAGUGAUGAAGGCCUUAGGGUUGUAAAGCUCUUUUACCCGGGAUGAUAAUGACAGUACCGGGAGAAUAAGCUCCGGCUAACUCCGUG
RNAcentral lists this ribosomal RNA (433 nucleotides) under uncultured bacterium. RNAcentral describes it as "partial 16S ribosomal RNA". It matches the Rfam family "Bacterial small subunit ribosomal RNA", at positions 29 to 507 of the family's 1533-position model. The record is from RNAcentral.